AUUUUUAUCAUCGAUCGAGUUCAAUCUGUUUUUUUUUUCUCUCUUUCUCUCGCAAUAGAAGUCCCGAAUCGACUUUGGAAGAAGAUGGAAUCGAAUGAUAUAUAAUCAGAGGAGGUUGGGGUCUGAGGUGAUGCGUAGCGGAGGAGAUUGAAUCGGCGGAGGUGAUGCGUAGCGAAGGAGAUUUCGCGAUUAGUUACUUGCUACUGGUGGAUUAGAUGGUGUUGUUCAGAUCUUUGAUGCUUCAUCAGGAGAUUUUAAAUGUGUUUUGGACGGUCCCGGUGGUGGAAUCGAAUCGAGGGAUUUGAGUGACAAUGAGCUCGUUGGUCCUAUCCCACCUAUACUUGGCAAUCUCUCAUUUACCGGAAAGUUGUAUCUCCAUGGAAAUAAGCUCACUGGUCCAAUCAUAUGUCACGUCUCAGCUAUUUGCAACUAAACGACAACAAACUGGUGGGAACUAUCCCACCUGAGCUUGGGAAGCUAGAGCAAUUGUUUUGGCUGUUUUACUUGCAGUGAUGUAUCAUUCAAUCUGCUCUCCCGAGUUAUUCCCUCUAAGUUGGCCAACUACAGAGUCUAAACUCUUUAAUAUUGAACAACAACAAGCUCCAUGGGAAAAUUCCAGAACAGUUUUUGUAACAACAACAAGCUUCAUGUUUAUUUUUAUGUUAAGAGACUCAAAAUAAGAACCCACCAUUGGAGGGAAAAAUUGUAAUUAUGCUUACCAAAGUUCUUAUUCAACUAAAAGUACAUCUUAUAUUAA
This is a long non-coding RNA of Camelina sativa (false flax), 757 nucleotides long. RefSeq lists it as uncharacterized. NCBI's taxonomy places the organism in Eukaryota, Viridiplantae, Streptophyta, Magnoliopsida, Brassicales, Brassicaceae. The record is from RefSeq and is a predicted model, not a curated record.